AUAUUGGUCAAUGGACGCAAGUCUGAACCAGCCAUUCCGCGUGAAGGAUUAAGGCCCUCUGGGUUGUAAACUUCUUUUAUAGGGGAAGAAAUGUGACGGUUCUCCGUCACUUGACGGUACCCUGGGAAUAAGCACCGGCUAACUCCGUGCCAGCAGCCGCGGUAAUACGGCGGGUGCAAGCGUUAUCCGGAUUCACUGGGCUUAAAGGGUGCGUAGGUGGGCAGAUAAGUCAGUGGUGAAAUCUUCCGGCUUAACCGGGAAACUGCCGUUGAUACUGUUUGUCUUGAAUAUUGCGGAGGUCAGCGGAAUAUCUCAUGUAGCGGUGAAAUGCUUAGAUAUGACAUAGAACACCAAUUGCGAAGGCAGCUUACUACACAAUCAUUGACACUGAGGCACGAAAGCGUGGGUAGCGAACA
This 416-nucleotide ribosomal RNA is filed under the name uncultured bacterium. Its description in RNAcentral is "bacterial SSU rRNA". It matches the Rfam family "Bacterial small subunit ribosomal RNA", at positions 361 to 774 of the family's 1533-position model. The record is from RNAcentral.